RNAcentral lists this ribosomal RNA (492 nucleotides) under uncultured bacterium. RNAcentral's name for it is "partial 16S ribosomal RNA". It matches the Rfam family "Bacterial small subunit ribosomal RNA", at positions 29 to 507 of the family's 1533-position model. The record is from RNAcentral.
AGUGAACGCUGGCGGUAGGCCUAACACAUGCAAGUCGAACGGCAGCACAGUAAGAGCUUUCUCUUACUGGUGGCGAGUGGCGGACGGGUGAGGUAUACAUCGGAAUCUACUUUUUCGUGGGGGAUAACGUAGGGAAACUUACGCUAAUACCGCAUACGACCUACGGGUGAAAUCAGGGGAUCUUCUUACCUUGCGCGAUUGAAUGAGCCGAUGUCGGAUGAGCUAGUUGGCGGGGUAAAGGCCCACCAAGGCGACGAUCCGUAGCUGGUCUGCGAGGAUGAUCAGCCACACUGGAACUGAGAGACGGUCUAGAACACUACGGGAGGCAGCAGUGGGGAAUAUUGGAGAAGGGGAGCAAGCCUGAUCAAGCCAUACCGCGUGGGUGAAGAAGGCCUUCGGGUUGUAAAGCCCUUUUGUUGGGAAAGAAAAGCAGCAGGUUAAUACCCCGCUGUUCUGACGGUACCAAAAGAAUAAGCACCGGCUAACUUCGUG